This 441-nucleotide ribosomal RNA is filed under the name Salmonella enterica subsp. enterica. Its description in RNAcentral is "bacterial SSU rRNA". It matches the Rfam family "Bacterial small subunit ribosomal RNA", at positions 337 to 795 of the family's 1533-position model. The record is from RNAcentral. Lineage: Bacteria; Pseudomonadati; Pseudomonadota; Gammaproteobacteria; Enterobacterales; Enterobacteriaceae.
UCCUACGGGUGGCAGCAGUGGGGAAUAUUGGACAAUGGGCGCAAGCCUGAUCCAGCCAUGCCGCGUGGGUGAUGAAGGCCUUAGGGUUGUAAAGCCCUUUUAGCGGGGAAGAUAAUGACGGUACCCGCAGAAGAAGCCCCGGCUAACUUCGUGCCAGCAGCCGCGGUAAUACGAAGGGGGCUAGCGUUGUUCGGAAUCACUGGGCGUAAAGCGCACGUAGGCGGAUUUUUAAGUCAGGGGUGAAAUCCCGGGGCUCAACCUCGGAACUGCCUUUGAUACUGGCAAUCUUGAGUCCGGGAGAGGUGAGUGGAACUCCGAGUGUAGAGGUGAAAUUCGUAGAUAUUCGGAAGAACACCAGUGGCGAAGGCGGCUCACUGGUCCGGUACUGACGCUGAGGUGCGAAAGCGUGGGGAGCAAACAGGAUUAGAUACCCUUGUAGUC